Non-coding RNA from Pristionchus pacificus, 61 nucleotides. The record is from Rfam. NCBI's taxonomy places the organism in Eukaryota, Metazoa, Nematoda, Chromadorea, Rhabditida, Neodiplogasteridae.
UCUUCAUUCCUCAUACUCUCUCACCGGUCAGAGUGACGAAAGAGCAGGCGAAAUGAAGAGA